CGCACGUAAUAAUUCCCGAAAAGGUAAACCCUAUGUUGUUGAAAUAUAUCUGAAUAUCAAAUCCUUGUGCGGUAACAACGCCGCCCCACACACCACACAGUUUCUCGGCGGCGCCUCCUCCCCCAUUCUCUACGAUUUCAGCUCUUUAUAGGGUUUAACAACUUCAACCCUCCGGACUCCCCCGAUCAUCGAUCAAACUCAACCCCUAAGAUCUUUCCACACUAGAUAUCAGCUACUGCAAUGGGAAAGAAAAAAGUUGAUGAGAGUGGAGCCCCCUCAAAGGGUAAGCCAGGCGGCAAAGAUGCGCCCAAAGAUGGAAAGGAGAAGAAACUCUCCGUCUCCGCUAUGCUUGCCAGCAUGGACCAGAAACCUGAUAAAGCCAAGAAAGUAACAACAUCCUCCAUCUCUACUUCUAGCAAGCCCAAGGUGAAAGCAGCUGUGAAACCAUCUUAUAUUGAUGCCUUUGAUCUCCCUCCCUCUGAUGAGGAGGAUGAGGAGGCUGCCGCAGCAGAAGAGCUGAAACAUUCCAGGCAGCAGAGGAGUGAUUCAAAGACUCUAGAAAUCUCUGUAACCGACAAAGAGUUGAAGAAACGCGAGAAGAAGGAUAUGCUGGUUGCUCAAGCUGCUGAUAUUGCUAGACAGGAGGCUCUUAAGGAUGAUCAUGAUGCAUUUACCGUUGUUAUUGGUACCCGUGCCUCUGUUCUUGAUGGUGAAAGUGAAGCUGAUGCUAAUGUGAAAGAUAUAACAGUGGAUAAUUUCUCUGUGUCAGCCCGGGGCAAAGAACUCUUAAAGAAUGCAGCUGUGAAGAUAUCUCAUGGGAAGAGGUAUGGAUUGGUUGGACCCAAUGGAAAGGGUAAGUCUACCCUAUUAAAGCUCCUAGCUUGGAGAAAGAUUCCAGUUCCUAAAAAUAUAGAUGUGCUCCUGGUUGAACAAGAGGUAGUCGGCGAUGAUAAAACUGCCCUUGAGGCAGUUGUUUCAGCUAAUGAGGAGCUUGUCAAGAUCCGACGAGAGGUUGCAGCUUUGCAAGAUGCGCCUUCUGCUGCUGGGGUUGAGGAUGGAAACGAUGAUGGGGAUGAUGCUGGAGAGAAGCUUGCUGAAUUGUAUGAAAAAUUGCAGCUGAUGGGGUCGGAUGCUGCUGAGGCUCAGGCAUCAAAGAUUCUUGCUGGGUUAGGUUUCACUAAGGACAUGCAGGGCCGCCCGACGCGGUCUUUUAGUGGGGGCUGGAGGAUGAGAAUUUCAUUGGCUAGAGCACUUUUUGUGCAGCCAACUUUAUUGUUGUUGGAUGAACCCACGAAUCAUCUUGACCUGAGGGCUGUUCUCUGGUUAGAGGAAUACUUGUGCCGCUGGAAGAAAACUCUUGUUGUUGUCUCGCAUGAUCGGGAUUUCCUUAAUACAGUUUGCAAUGAGAUUAUUCACCUCCAUGACCUGAAACUACAAAUAUACCGUGGGAAUUUUGAUGAUUUUGAAAGUGGGUAUGAGCAGCGUCGGAAAGAGAUGAACAAGAAGUUUGAGAUUUAUGAAAAGCAGGUGAAAGCUGCCAAGAGGACUGGGAAUCGGGCUCAACAAGAGAAAGUCAAGGAUCGGGCUAAAUUUGCAGCUGCCAAAGAAGCAUCAAAGAAUAAGGGAAAGGGGAAGGUUGAUGAGGAUGAGCCCCUUCCAGAUGCCCCCCGGAAGUGGAGAGAUUACACUGUGGAGUUCCACUUCCCUGAACCCACUGAGCUAACACCACCACUUUUGCAGCUAAUUGAAGUCAGCUUCAGUUAUCCAAACCGUGAGGAUUUCAGGCUCUCUGAUGUUGAUGUUGGUAUUGAUAUGGGUACACGUGUUGCUAUAAUUGGACCCAAUGGAGCUGGGAAAUCUACAUUGUUAAAUCUUCUAGCUGGCGACUUAGUUCCAACUGAGGGUGAAGUACGAAGGAGUCAAAAGUUGAGGAUUGGGAGAUAUUCACAGCACUUUGUUGAUCUUCUGACAAUGGAUGAAACACCAGUUCAAUAUCUUCUUCGACUUCAUCCGGAUCAAGAGGGACUUAGUAAGCAAGAGGCUGUCCGGGCAAAGCUUGGGAAAUUUGGUCUUCCUAGCCAUAACCACCUCACCCCCAUUGCAAAAUUAUCAGGGGGACAAAAAUCUCGGGUUGUCUUCACUUCAAUCUCCAUGUCAAAGCCACACAUUUUGCUAUUGGAUGAGCCCACAAAUCAUUUGGAUAUGCAGAGCAUUGAUGCACUAGCCGAUGCACUUGAUGAGUUCACUGGUGGAGUUGUCCUCGUCAGUCAUGAUUCAAGAUUAAUAUCACGGGUUUGCGAAGAUGAAGAGAAAAGCAUGAUUUGGGUUGUAGAGAAUGGAACUGUAAGGACUUUCCCUGGUAGUUUUGAUGAAUACAAGGAAGAGCUGCUAAAGGAAAUCAGAGCAGAGGUUGAUGAUUAAAGUGCCUUGUGUGAUAUAGUUUAUACGAAAUGCUAUCAUGUUUGCGGACUCUAGAUAGCUUCAGCUUCAGACAAACAUAGCUAGUAUGUUUAUGGUGCCUAAACUAGUUGUAUCCAGAGGAAUAAGCUUGAGAACUGAACAGUGAUUAAUCAUGCUUGAAGGAGAAACAUUGCAGAAAUGGAUGAAAGCCAUCAAGAGGAGAUCUAUAUGGUAGAACUUGAACUACCACAUACUCUCCGAUAAGCCGAUUAAGAGGUGAUGUUGACCAGCUUGAUUAAUAUAUAUAUAUUGGCUAUUCCAUACAGCUGAUUUCCAAUUCAAGUGUUUUUCAUGAAGAAUUUUGACAUGAGCUUCUUCUUCUUCUCAUUUGUUUGUUUUUUUGGGGGUGAUAAUGAGAGUUCAUGUAUUAAUAGAAUAAAAUGAUAACAUAUGCCCUGCAACAAAGCCAUACAAGCUUCCCAGACAAUACCCAACUAUUUUCUGUAACUUUUCUUUUUUCUUUUUCUUUUUUUUCUUCAUUUUUUGUUGAUGUGAUAAAUUAUAUUCAAUCAAUAUUUGAGGAUUAUUAUUAUGAUUAUUAUUUCGAUUUCU
Molecule: RNA transcript, 3012 nt
Organism: Camellia sinensis
Lineage: Eukaryota; Viridiplantae; Streptophyta; Magnoliopsida; Ericales; Theaceae
Gene: ABCF4
Gene name: general control non-repressible 4
Source: RefSeq, a predicted model, not a curated record